This 497-nucleotide ribosomal RNA is filed under the name uncultured bacterium. Its description in RNAcentral is "partial 16S ribosomal RNA". It matches the Rfam family "Bacterial small subunit ribosomal RNA", at positions 28 to 507 of the family's 1533-position model. The record is from RNAcentral.
GAUGAACGCUGGCGGCGUGCCUAAUACAUGCAAGUCGAGCGAACGGACGAGAAGCUUGCUUCUCUGAUGUUAGCGGCGGACGGGUGAGUAACACGUGGAUAACCUACCUAUAAGACUGGGAUAACUUCGGGAAACCGGAGCUAAUACCGGAUAAUAUUCUGAACCGCAUGGUUCAAAAGUGAAAGACGGUCUUGCUGUCACUUAUAGAUGGAUCCGCGCUGCAUUAGCUAGUUGGUAAGGUAACGGCUUACCAAGGCAACGAUGCAUAGCCGACCUGAGAGGGUGAUCGGCCACACUGGAACUGAGACACGGUCCAGACUCCUACGGGAGGCAGCAGUAGGGAAUCUUCCGCAAAGGGCGAAAGCCUGACGGAGCAACGCCGCGUGAGUGAUGAAGGUCUUCGGAUCGUAAAACUCUGUUAUUAGGGAAGAACAUAUGUGUAAGUAACUGUGCACAUCUUGACGGUACCUAAUCAGAAAGCCACGGCUAACUACGUG